This 185-nucleotide non-coding RNA is filed under the name Crenobacter luteus. Its description in RNAcentral is "6S / SsrS RNA". It matches the Rfam family "6S / SsrS RNA". From Rfam's summary of the family: E. coli 6S RNA was the first non coding RNA to be sequenced, but its function was unknown until recently. It consists of 184 nucleotides that fold into an extended hairpin structure with a large single-stranded internal bulge. The record is from Rfam by way of RNAcentral. Lineage: Bacteria; Pseudomonadati; Pseudomonadota; Betaproteobacteria; Neisseriales; Neisseriaceae.
UUCCCCCUGCGGUGUUCGAGAAGGCGCACAAUUCCUUUGAACCAAUGCGUUCGCUCUGGCCGCUAGCAUCUACGGCGCGGGUGCGUCGCGUUCCCCUUGCGGAACGCGCCCGAAGCGCCAGGCAGGUGGCCCCCUGGAAACAGGGUUCAAGCGAAUUUUGCCGGACCGACAUCUGUGGGGGGAUC